GAUGGUUGAAGGAGCAUGAUGCCUAGCGAGCUCGAAUAACACUUUUAUCAAUUUUUCAGAAUCACCACGCCAUUUGCUAACAACUGAUGAUGCUGAGAUAUUGAAAAAUGUGGUAUUGCAUUCAGUUGCAACUGCCUUCGCAAGCAUGGUCUUUCCUGUUCCAGGAGGGCCAAAAAGGAGGAUACCUUUCCAAGGAGUUAAAAGACCUUUAAAAUACUUUGGAU
Molecule: unclassified non-coding RNA, 224 nt
Filed under: Hevea brasiliensis (rubber tree)
Lineage: Eukaryota; Viridiplantae; Streptophyta; Magnoliopsida; Malpighiales; Euphorbiaceae
Source: RNAcentral